AUCUACUCAACACAGGAAGAUGGAACCAGCUCUUCAACGUUACCACCACACUCACAGACCACCUGAGACCACUUCACUCCACCAGCCCAGACACCUGUCUGAGACACCAGGACUACUACACGGGCCAUCGGUCCCCCCUUGGUACAGGAAGAUACCACCACAAGACAUCCUACAGCAGGCACUCCCACUAUACAGGGAGGCAGAGCAGACCAACAGAACAGGACCGAACAGCUCCUGUACCUCUACGUAGCACCUCCAACCCAGAGGACCACCACCACACAGAGAAGAUUGAACACCACCAUGAUCUGGGACCUCCACGCUACACAACGGCUUCCAGACACUCCAGGGUAUCCAGAAACCCACCUACCUCCAGAGAAACACCUCCCCAGCGGCGAACUGAUCCACCUCUGACUCAACACCACCAAUGCAACACCUCCGGAACAGAGACUACGCCCCACACCGGCAGCAGCUUCAGCCAAGCCGCCGAGGCCACAACUACUACUACGGGUACCAUGAACUACUCACCAGUCCCCAGCCCUUCUCCUACCCUAAGACAAGACACCAGGAGCACCAACACAGAGGACUCCACACCAGCAGCACCGAGACCCCUCUUCACGACACCAGAGGAUAUCUCCUCCUCCUCUUCCCUACCAUCAUUCCUGCAGCCCAUCACUCCUGUCCACAACCGUAGAACUACUGAACAGCGACCCAGAGAGACCCCACUAUAUGGGACCUCCACCCUCUUCCACCCCAGUGUCAAGACAACAGCUAAGCUGAUCUCCAGACUCAUCAGAGUGAGACACCACCUGGAAGCAACCAGCGAACACCUCUCCGGAGGCCCUCUACCACCUGGCUACCAGACCAAGACAAGGGAACUGAUAGCCCUCUUCACCCCACCUAGAGCAUCAAACGACACCCUCGACAAACUAACCAUCGCCACCACGCAAUGGCUCAGAAGGAACCAUGAGAUCCUGGAGAGAGACUACAGGAACGAGACAAUACACCCACCACAUCCUCUUUGACAACACCAACUGCACCAACUGGACAGAGGCCUGGUACCUCGGCAGCAGAUGGGCAGAAGAAGUCCUUCAAAGACCCCCACUACUACCUCUUCUGGAGAGCCUGCGGAACUCCCUCCCUCUAACCGAGACUGGCCAACCAGAGACAACGGCCAAUUCAUCCCCCCCCCAGGCAGCGAAGCAGAGGGCGACUCACCUCUCCAGACCUCUCUACACGCCACCCCAACUGAGGAGAGACCUACUUCGCCAUACCAAGGCCUGAAACGGCCCCUCUCCACAGAAGAAGAUCCGGCAGGACCAAACUUCGAUCCUCCGAACAAAGCCACUACCUCCCACACCACGGAAGAACCCGACAAGACGCCCACAGACCACUACUAGAGGACGCAAAAGAACCCACAAGACCAACAGGGCCUUUACCCCCUCUCCAGAUCCUGACAGAACCAGCCACUUACAGAACAAGACUGCACCUGACCCACCGCCGACCACCAGUACAGCCCAGACCAGGAAGACCGCACCUGAGGAAACCAAGGCUCAACCUACUACCUCUGAGCCCACAACACUCCACCCGACCCUGGACAGAGACCACCACCUACCAGAACCUACAGACCCGCCAGCAACAACUACCUGCAAAAAAAACAAGAAACGACUCAACCAGUACUCCAAGAUACGCCUGGUACCUCUCCAAAAGACCAAGCCCCCUCCACCCUCAAGCCUAUCCACCGGCAUUGCAGAGACCAUCAACCAACUCGCCGCACUAGAAGACGGGCUC
This 1788-nucleotide long non-coding RNA is filed under the name Salmo salar (Atlantic salmon). Its description in RNAcentral is "lncRNA (ENSSSAG00000100068.1)". The record is from RNAcentral. Lineage: Eukaryota; Metazoa; Chordata; Actinopteri; Salmoniformes; Salmonidae.